UUCUGUCUCUUCCCCUCCCCCAUGCACGCUCUCUCUCAAAAAUAAACGUAAAAAAAGAGAAGAAUAGAUACACCGUAAGUAUUCAUUAAAUUGGAUGGAUUUGCUAUACCAUUUCUUAAAGUACUUCCUUUAUAGCCAAAAGCUCCGUGUCUGUAUAUUAAAGAUUUUGCAACCCUUUCCCUCGCACAUAAACAUAUCCAGAAGCUAAUAAGCCAAAGACAUGGUUAUUAAUAUCGAGAGUCAAGGAUGACUCAUGAGGCUCCUCCAACAAUCAAGGAUGAAAAUCUAAGGGGUUGGAGGACAAGUACUUAAUUCAGCUCGACACUCAUGAGCGGAACAGCCGUCCCCUGCCUGUCUUGCAGCGUGCAUAGUAGAUUAGAUUAGGGUCCUAUCCUUUCACACUUCAUAGUUCUCAAACAAACCUUUUCCGUCCCGUAAUGCGAUUUUCAUUCAGCCACCUUCUUUGUUAAAUUUAAAGCCUGCGAGUUUGGGGACUGUCUGUAUCGUUCACCAGUGGCCCAAGCGUCCCUUCCAAAUGAAGGCCAUCACAGUUGUCCCAUGUUGCCAGUCGUGCGUUAGCAUCAGCAGGGCGCAUUCUGCACAUUUAUGACUUCAGAGGAACAAGAUGGGUUUGCCAAAAUUUGCCAACCAUGUAGGACGGUCUCUGACGAAUGACUUCAAUCUGAAUAUCCAGAAAUUGUCUGAUUUGCAGUCUGCUUGGAAUCAACUGCUUUAUUGGAAGGGAGUGAGCAACUACAUUAUUGAGAAAAAACCAUUUUAAUUCGGU
This is a long non-coding RNA of Lynx canadensis (Canada lynx), 787 nucleotides long. RefSeq lists it as uncharacterized. The record is from RefSeq and is a predicted model, not a curated record. Lineage: Eukaryota; Metazoa; Chordata; Mammalia; Carnivora; Felidae. The transcript has 2 exons.